AAGUCGUAACAAGGUUUCCGUAGGUGAACCUGCGGAAGGAUCAUUAGAAAUCGCCGGCUUAGCCGGUAUAAAAUUCUAUCCACCUUGUGUGCAAACAAUGGAAAAAAAAAGAGAGAAAAAUUGGAUACUUUUUUUGUAUCCAACCUCUCUAAAAAACUUUAUAAACUCCAUCAAAUUUUGAAUAAAACUAAUUUUUUUUUUUUAAAUAAAAAAUAUUAUACAACUUUCAACAACGGAUCUCUUGGCUCUC
Molecule: unclassified non-coding RNA, 250 nt
Filed under: fungal sp.
Lineage: Eukaryota; Fungi
Description: partial internal transcribed spacer region
Rfam family: Eukaryotic small subunit ribosomal RNA (bases 1-46)
Source: RNAcentral